Molecule: ribosomal RNA, 253 nt
Filed under: uncultured bacterium
Lineage: Bacteria
Description: partial 16S ribosomal RNA
Rfam family: Bacterial small subunit ribosomal RNA
Source: RNAcentral
UACGAAGGGGGCUAGCGUUGCUCGGAAUCACUGGGCGUAAAGCGCACGUAGGCGGACUCUUAAGUCAGGGGUGAAAUCCUGGAGCUCAACUCCAGAACUGCCUUUGAUACUGAGAGCCUUGAGUUCGGGAGAGGUGAGUGGAACUGCGAGUGUAGAGGUGAAAUUCGUAGAUAUUCGCAAGAACACCAGUGGCGAAGGCGGCUCACUGGCCCGAUACUGACGCUGAGGUGCGAAGGCGUGGGGAGCGAACGGG